UUUAUUUUAGGGUUGCAUCAGCAUAAAAAGAUGACUACAAUUGUUUUGUUCUCUCUUCUAUCAUCCGUUUGCUGGUUUGCAGGGUUUCUACAAGCAAUGACUUCGACACAAGGGUUCUUGAAGCCAUCACAUAAUAAUUCUUGGUACCUGUUUGACCGCCAUUACUUUUGGCAACCUCAGACCCACUCAAAUUAUGCCACCUGUUGACCCAUUAUCAAAGGAAGCCAAAUAUUUGUUCAGUUUACGUCGAUGGAGAGCUCUUCCUGUUCUCUUCCUUCACCGCAUCUCAUCGGUUACGAUGUA
Molecule: long non-coding RNA, 303 nt
Organism: Helianthus annuus (common sunflower)
Lineage: Eukaryota; Viridiplantae; Streptophyta; Magnoliopsida; Asterales; Asteraceae
Exons: 3
Source: RefSeq, a predicted model, not a curated record